RNAcentral lists this long non-coding RNA (219 nucleotides) under Homo sapiens (human). Its description in RNAcentral is "non-protein coding lnc-FBXW11-13:1". Lineage: Eukaryota; Metazoa; Chordata; Mammalia; Primates; Hominidae. The record is from RNAcentral.
AAAUUAACUGAGGUAGGGUUAACAUCAAUGUUUCAAGUAUUUAUCUUAGAUGGUACCAUUUGUUCAUAGAACAAAAUUCAUUAAAUGAUCCAAAUGUGCAAAUAAAGGCAGUACAUGUAUAGAUACUUAAAAGACCUUUCUCUUAAAUAAAAUGUAAAAGCAGCUCCUGAUGCAUUACAAUGCACAGCCACAACCUGAAAGCUCAAGUACAAUGUUCUU